CUCAGGCUGUCUCCCUGCAGAGAGGAACAGAAUGUGCCACAGUGAGUGAUGAAAGGAGGAAAGUGCCUCCUUCAGGAAUGCUCUAGUGGCUCCAAACAUCACCUCAAAAGGACGAUGAGAUGUUUUAAUCCUGUCAGUGGGAAGAAGCAGAAAAAAGAGUUACUACUGGUGUGCAGGAGUCCUACACACUCUGUGCAGGGUUUCUGCUGGUAAAUUUUUGGCUUUUUGCUGAAGAAGGGGUUAACUGGGGGGUGACCCAGCCCAGCCCAAGCUGAUUUCAUUACUUUGUGCCUGGAAUCACUCAGAUUUUUGUUUCACAGCAUCUAUUCCCAUCUCUUUCCUGCAGUCUUUUGACCUCUGGAUAUGUUCUAAUUCAGUGGGCUGCAGGUAAUUAAUUAUAAAUUACCUGACUGUUUAAUUAUAAAAGAGCCAGCACAGGGAUCAGAUGGAGCCUGAUGGUGACAAAGGCACAGCCCAGAGCUCCAACCCUUCCCUGCCGUCCCCAGUGAGGACACACCUCCCAGCAGGAAUUACUAACUUCUGGUGGAGGGAAAAAGCAGCCAAGGGAGAGUAAUGCCUAUGUAAAAUCUUGUCAGAGAGUGUGGGGGUACCAGUUGUG
RNAcentral lists this long non-coding RNA (619 nucleotides) under Zonotrichia albicollis (white-throated sparrow). Its description in RNAcentral is "lncRNA (ENSZALG00000013794.1)". The record is from RNAcentral. Lineage: Eukaryota; Metazoa; Chordata; Aves; Passeriformes; Passerellidae.